Molecule: ribosomal RNA, 487 nt
Filed under: uncultured bacterium
Lineage: Bacteria
Description: bacterial SSU rRNA
Rfam family: Bacterial small subunit ribosomal RNA
Source: RNAcentral
AGAGUUUGAUUAUGGCUCAGGAUUAACGCUGGCGGCGUGCCUAACACAUGCAAGUCGAACGGAAUAUCUUCGGAUAUUUAGUGGCGAACGGGUGAGUAAUGUACAGGUAAUGUACCUUCGUACUGCGAAUAACAAGCUGAAAAGUUUGCUAAUACGGAAUAGUUUCCUUCGAGGGCAUCCUUAAAGGAAUAAAGAUUUAUCGUGCGGAGAUCAGCCUGUAUCCUAUUAGUUAGUUGGUGGGGUAAUGGCCUACCAAGACGACGAUGGGUAACUGGUCUGAGAGGAUGAGCAGUCACAUUGGAACUGAGAAACGGUCCAAACUCCUACGGGAGGCAGCAGUGAGGAAUUUUGCGCAAUGGGGGAAACCCUGACGCAGCCAACGCCGCGUGAGUGAUGACGGCCUUCGGGUUGUAAAGCUCUGUCGUGUGUGACGAGUAGGGACGGUAACACACAAGGAAGCCUCGGCUAACUACGUGCCAGCAGCCGC